ACAUGGCUCUUUGCUAGUUUGAAAAAAUAAGAAUAGAGAGUCUGACCUGCCCGGUGAUGUAGGAAUUAAACGGCCGCAGUACCCUGACUGUGCAAAGGUAGCAUAAUCAUUUGCCUUUUAAUUGAGGGCUAGUAUGAAAGGUUUGACGUGGACUAAGCUGUCUCCUGAGGAUUAUAUAGAAAUUAAUUUUUAGGUGAAAAAGCCUAAAUUUAACUAUGGGACGAGAAGACCCCAUUGAGCUUUAAUUAAACUUUGAAAUAGGAAAAACAAUGAUGUGUAUUGAACUAAUUUCUAAGGUAUUUUUAGUGGGGGAAAACGGAGGAAUAUAAGAAGCUUCCUCUUUUUAGCAUGGAUUGAGUUAUUUGUAUUUGAAAAUAAAUAAAAAAUUAUGUUUUUGGUAAAGCUGGCAUGUGAUGGUUUGAUAGAAGGAUCCGUUGAARUAAAUUUAAUGAUUAAGGGAAAGAGUUACCAUGGGGAUAACAGCGUAAUUUCUUCUGGAGAGUUCAUAUUGAAAGAGGGGUUUGCGACCUCGAUGUUGGAUUAAGACAUCCUGAGGGUGUAGCAGCUCUUAAGGGUUGGUCUGUUCGACCAUAAAAGUCUUACGUGAUCU
This 610-nucleotide ribosomal RNA is filed under the name Lepetodrilus ovalis. RNAcentral's name for it is "partial 16S ribosomal RNA". It matches the Rfam family "Bacterial large subunit ribosomal RNA", at positions 1813 to 2606 of the family's 2925-position model. The record is from RNAcentral. Lineage: Eukaryota; Metazoa; Mollusca; Gastropoda; Lepetellida; Lepetodrilidae.